CACAUACACACCGGUGUUGAGUCAGGGCCCAGUGACCAGGCUCAGAGGGAAACAGGGAAGCAGCAGCUAAAGGAAGCCUGGGCCUGGGAAAAUGCUGCUGAGGCCAGGCCUGGGAACAAAGGCGGGCAGGUCUCACUCUUCCCAUCACUAAAAACAGGGACAACAGCCCUACCUCAUAGGAUGGAGAACAAAGUAAGAUAAGGCGGGAAGCCACCACUGCUGGGGGUUCCUUUCGGAAGACUUGGGCGCCCGCAGCUGAGUGGCAAGCAUGUACUACGGACCACUGGACUGGAAAUCACCAGAGCUAAAGGACUGGAGACUCUCAAGGAGACCUUGUGAGCUCCGCACACUGUGAGGCUCUCCUCCAUCUGGGUCCUCAGCAAUCAUCUCUUUGUUCUCACAGUCAUGAAAGUGAAAGUCGCUCAUUUGUGUCCAACUCUGUGCAACCCCAUAGACUAUAUAGAAUUCUCCAGGCCAGAAUACUGGAGCCGGAAGCCUUUCCCUGCUCCAGGGGAUCUUCGCAACCUAAGGAUCGAACCCAGGUCUCCCACAUUGCAGGCGGAUUCUUCACCAGCUGAGCCACCAGGAAAGACCAAGAAUACUGGAGUGGAACUUAGUAUACUGGGAAGUACGUGGACCAGCAUGUGCCAUAGAGGACUGUCUGCUAUCUCCAGAGUACCUUGGAAAAGGUCAAGGCUUUUGGCCAGACCCCCUGGAAGAACUGACAACAUG
Bos taurus (domestic cattle) is the source of this 732-nucleotide long non-coding RNA. The record is from Ensembl. NCBI's taxonomy places the organism in Eukaryota, Metazoa, Chordata, Mammalia, Artiodactyla, Bovidae.